GACGUAGGGCGCGAGCGUUGUCCGGAUUUAUUGGGCGUAAAGCGUGCGCAGGCGGUUUUGUAAGUCAGAUGUUAAAUGCCCGGGCUUAACCUGGGAACUGCAUUUGUGACUGCAUGGCUAGAGUUUGGCAGAGGGGGGUAGAAUUCCACGUGUAGCAGUGAAAUGCGUAGAUAUGUGGAGGAACACCGAUGGCGAAGGCAGCCCCCUGGGUCAAGACUGACGCUCAUGCACGAAAGCGUGGGGAGCAAACAGG
Molecule: ribosomal RNA, 253 nt
Filed under: uncultured bacterium
Lineage: Bacteria
Description: partial 16S ribosomal RNA
Rfam family: Bacterial small subunit ribosomal RNA
Source: RNAcentral